This 253-nucleotide ribosomal RNA is filed under the name uncultured bacterium. Its description in RNAcentral is "partial 16S ribosomal RNA". It matches the Rfam family "Bacterial small subunit ribosomal RNA", at positions 524 to 776 of the family's 1533-position model. The record is from RNAcentral.
UACGUAGGGGGCAAGCGUUAUCCGGAUUUACUGGGUGUAAAGGGUGCGUAGGCGGUUUAGUAAGUCAGAUGUGAAAGCCCGAGGCUUAACUUCGGGAUUGCAUUUGAAACUACUAAACUAGAGUGCAGGAGAGGAAAGUGGAAUUCCUAGUGUAGCGGUGAAAUGCGUAGAUAUUAGGAGGAACACCAGUGGCGAAGGCGACUUUCUGGACUGUAACUGACGCUGAGGCACGAAAGCGUGGGGAGCGAACAGG